This is a non-coding RNA of Pelobates cultripes (western spadefoot toad), 1122 nucleotides long. NCBI's taxonomy places the organism in Eukaryota, Metazoa, Chordata, Amphibia, Anura, Pelobatidae. The record is from the annotation of a GenBank genome assembly.
GUAAAAUCUAUGUUUCUUAUGUUUGCAGUUUAUUUUUAAUUGUCUUGGGAAAUAAGUGCUUUAAAUAUCAUGUUAAAAAGGGAAAUGUAUUGAUUUUAUCCCCCCAGAUACCUUCACAUUUAUAUUUGUACGUUAUGGUUCAUUAAUUGUGAGUCACAGCAAGCAGUAAAUGUUGAUUAUACUCUGAUUUUAUGCUGUGCAAUUGAAAAAGUAUAUAUCGGCAGUUUUCUAAUAUACAAGCAGAACCAGUACAAACUUUGCAUAUCAAAGGCUCCGAAAAGUAUAUCCCCAGAUCUUUUAAAACUACAGCUUCAAUGAUGCUCUGUAAUUUUAAAGGCAUUCCAAAGGCAUCAUCUGGGGCUCUACCUAUUAGAGGCAAAACUGCUGUUCUUUACCAAGAGAUAAUCUUAUUCCAUCUAACAGAUUUUAUCUGUAAGUAUUCCGUCCGUUAAAAGCCUCCUCUCUCCGUCAGUGUUACCAGCUUGUAGAAAAUGUUUGAUAAAAUAUCGGUCUGUGUCAAGAUUAGCCAUCGGUGCCCUUAAAUCUGCAAUCCAGUGUGCUUGUUUAACAAAAUACUGCAACAAUCUUUUCAAAUAAUCAGCAAUAGCCUGUUACAGAGAAUUAUAUAUAUUAUUCUGUUUAUCCCUUUCUAAUUAUAUAUUUUCUUUGCCAUCAGCUCUAGCCAAUCAGUAGCACCCCUACCAGGCAAUGCUCCUCGCUUUCUGAAGCCGAAUUCAGCUAGAGGACCUGGAGAUCAGGUGCUGGAGGCAGCCUUUGGUGAUAAACUGUUAAACAAUAAACGGUUUAACCCAUUAAGGUAAGGUCGUCCGGUGGCCUCCAAGCACCAUAACUUCAUUUAGAUUAAGUUGUUAUGGUGACAGUGACCGGAGUGUUUCUUUUAAUAUAGACUGUUGCUGCAUAAUAUUUUGAUUACCUAAUAUUUUGAUUAUCCAAAUGUGCCAGUUUUACACUUCUAGCCAUACCAAGACCAACAUUGUGUAAUCUCAAUCCAACAAAAGGCUUAACAAUGAUUCAGUUCUAGUAGAAUGAGCAGUCAGUUUCUCUUCUGUCAGUGCACAUCAUGCACCAGUAAAUAAAUACAAACAUGACAUCAAUCUGCUU